This 249-nucleotide unclassified non-coding RNA is filed under the name plant metagenome. RNAcentral describes it as "partial contains small subunit ribosomal RNA, internal transcribed spacer 1, and 5.8S ribosomal RNA". The stretch from base 201 to 249 matches the Rfam family "5.8S ribosomal RNA", at positions 1 to 49 of the family's 154-position model. The record is from RNAcentral.
UCUCCGUAGGUGAACCUGCGGAGGGAUCAUUACAGAGUUCAUGCCCUACCGGGUAGAUCUCCCACCCUAUGUUAUUAUUACUUUGUUGCUUUGGCGGGCCGUUAGGCUCCGGCCCGACUACCGGCCCCGGCUGGUAAGCGCCCGCCAGAGGACCCAAAACCCUGAAUAUUAGUGUCGUCUGAGUACUAUAUAAUAGUUAAAACUUUCAACAACGGAUCUCUUGGUUCUGGCAUCGAUGAAGAGCGCAGC